This 712-nucleotide long non-coding RNA is filed under the name Musa acuminata (dwarf banana). RNAcentral's name for it is "long non-coding RNA (MACU_LNC010012)". Lineage: Eukaryota; Viridiplantae; Streptophyta; Magnoliopsida; Zingiberales; Musaceae. The record is from RNAcentral.
CACUGCUUUCCAUUCCCAUUCCUUUCCUUGCUUGUUCUCUCAUUCUCAUUGCUCAAAAACAAACAUUAGCUAUAGGGCGAAGAGCUCACCCGAUGAAGUCACUCGCGUUGUGAUCAAAGAAUCUAUCUUCUCGCAUUGUGAUCAAAGAAUCCAACUCGUCUAAUAUAGAAAGAAGUCACCUCACUACCUAUUACUUAGAAAGAAGUCACCUCACCACCUAUUACUUAGAAAGAAGUCACCUCACUACCUAUUACUUGUUUUUUCGCGCCCUGAGACUAAAGUAAGGGCAUAAACCUAUAGCUAACAUACUUACUUGUUCUUAUGCCGUUGUUUGUUCCAUUACUUGUUCGAUAAAAUGAUGUUUCUUCCGUUGCGAGCCUAUGGAUCUGCCUUGCUUUGGCCUUCUAUCCCAUCGUCUGGAACUCAAUCCAAAAGAAGCCUGUCCGAGAACAGAUGAAUGCUACUGACUUUGGUUCUUUCACCGCCUUCGACUAGCCCUUAAAUCAAUCGCCAUUCUAGCCCAAGUUUGGAUGGAUUCCUCCAACAAUCAAUGGAUUCUUCUGGCUUGCUUUUGGCUGAUCACAGAAGCAAAAAAGGCUCUUCCUGAUGUGAGAUUUACGAGUCGCUAGAGAGGAGAGGGAAAACUUCUUCUUUCAAAGAUAAUACCAGCCCUUUCUCUCCAUCUAAGAAUCCCUUGGCUACGAAAGAAGGC